AACGGGUGCGUAACACGUAUGCAACCUACCCUUCACAGGAGGACAGCCCCGAGAAAUCGGGAUUAAUACUCCAUAACAUCACGGAUUCGCAUGUUUCCGUGAUCAAAGUUCCGGCGGUGAAGGAUGGGCAUGCGGCCUAUUAGUUUGUUGGUGAGGUAACGGCUCACCAAGACUACGAUAGGUAGGGGGUCUGAGAGGAUGAUCCCCCACACUGGUACUGAGACACGGACCAGACUCCUACGGGAGGCAGCAGUGAGGAAUAUUGGUCAAUGGACGAAAGUCUGAACCAGCCAUGCCGCGUGCAGGAAGACUGCCCUACGGGUUGUAAACUGCUUUUAUGUGGGAAUAAACCCCUGGAUUCUUCCGGGGCUGAAGGUACCACACGAAUAAGGAUCGGCUAACUCCGUGCCAGCAGCCGCGGUAAUACGGAGGAUCCAAGCGUUAUCCGGAUUUAUUGGGUUUAAAGGGUCCGUAGGCGGGAUAUUAAGUCAGUGGUGAAAGCCUUCAGCUUAACUGGAGAAUUGCCAUUGAUACUGAUGUUCUUGAGUACACCUGAAGUGGGCGGAAUGUGUCAUGUAGCGGUGAAAUGCAUAGAUAUGACACAGAACACCGAUUGCGAAGGCAGCUCACUAAAGUGUAACUGACGCUGAGGGACGAAAGCGUGGGGAGCGAACAGGAUUAGAUACCCUGGUAGUCCACGCCGUAAACGAUGAUCACUCGAUAUUGG
Molecule: ribosomal RNA, 727 nt
Filed under: uncultured bacterium
Lineage: Bacteria
Description: bacterial SSU rRNA
Rfam family: Bacterial small subunit ribosomal RNA
Source: RNAcentral